RNAcentral lists this ribosomal RNA (838 nucleotides) under alpha proteobacterium SCGC AAA298-L22. RNAcentral describes it as "SSU rRNA". It matches the Rfam family "Bacterial small subunit ribosomal RNA", at positions 33 to 919 of the family's 1533-position model. The record is from RNAcentral. Lineage: Bacteria; Pseudomonadati; Pseudomonadota; Alphaproteobacteria.
ACGCUGGCGGCACGCCUAAUACAUGCAAGUCGAACGAAGUAGCAAUACUUAGUGGCAGACGGGUGAGUAACAUGUAGGUAUCUUCCCUUUGGUGAGGAAUAACACGAGGAAACUUGUGCUAAUACCUCAUAAGUCUUUACGGAGAAAGCUUUAUGCGCCAAUGGAUGAGCCUGCACUUGAUUAGUUUGUUGGUGGGGUAAUGGCCUACCAAGACAAUGAUCAAUAGCUGAUUUGAGAGGAUGAUCAGCCACAUUGGGACUGAGACACGGCCCAAACUCCUACGGGAGGCAGCAGUAGGGAAUCUUGCACAAUGGGGGAAACCCUGAUGCAGCGAUGCCGCGUGAGUGAAGAAGGCCUUUGGGUUGUAAAGCUCUUUCGUCGGGGAAGAAAAUGACUGUACCCGAAUAAGAAGGUCCGGCUAACUUCGUGCCAGCAGCCGCGGUAAUACGAAGGGACCUAGCGUAGUUCGGAAUUACUGGGCUUAAAGAGUUCGUAGGUGGUUAAAAAAGUUGGUGGUGAAAUCCCAGAGCUUAACUCUGGAACUGCCAUCAAAACUUUUUAGCUAGAGUAUGAUAGAGGAAAGCAGAAUUUCUAGUGUAGAGGUGAAAUUCGUAGAUAUUAGAAAGAAUACCAAUUGCGAAGGCAGCUUUCUGGAUCAUUACUGACGCUGAGGAACGAAAGCAUGGGUAGCGAAGAGGAUUAGAUACCCUCGUAGUCCAUGCCGUAAACGAUGUGUGUUAGACGUUGGAAAUUUAUUUUCAGUGUCGCAGCGAAAGCAAUAAACACACCGCCUGGGGAGUACGACCGCAAGGUUAAAACUUCAAUGAAUUGACGGGUC